UACGUAGGGGGCAAGCGUUGUCCGGAAUCAUUGGGCGUAAAGAGCGCGUAGGUGGCUAUGUAAGUCCGUUGUGAAAGUCAAAGGCUCAACCUUUGAAAGCCGAUGGAUACUGCAUAGCUAGAGUACGGAAGAGGCGAGUGGAAUUCCUGGUGUAGCGGUGGAAUGCGCAGAUAUCAGGAGGAACACCAAUAGCGAAGGCAGCUCGCUGGGACGUUACUGACACUGAGGCGCGAAAGCGUGGGGAGCGAACAGG
This 253-nucleotide ribosomal RNA is filed under the name uncultured bacterium. Its description in RNAcentral is "partial 16S ribosomal RNA". It matches the Rfam family "Bacterial small subunit ribosomal RNA", at positions 524 to 776 of the family's 1533-position model. The record is from RNAcentral.